CCUACGGGAGGCAGCAGUGGGGAAUCUUCCGCAAUGGGCGAAAGCCUGACGGAGCAACGCCGCGUGAUCGAAUGAAGGCCUUCGGGUUGUAAAGAUCUGUUGACAGGGACGAAUAAGCAAUGCGAAUAGUUUUGUGUAUGACGGUACCUGUUUAGAAAGCUCCGGCUAACUACGUGCCAGCAGCCGCGGUAAUACGUAGGGAGCAAGCGUUGUCCGGAAUUACUGGGCGUAAAGGGCGCGUAGGUGGGCGCUUAAGUCAGGUGUGAAAACUCCGGGCUCAACCUGGAGACUGCACUUGAAACUGGGUGUCUUGAGGGCAGGAGAGGAAAGUGGAAUUCCUAGUGUAGCGGUGAAAUGCGUAGAUAUCUGGAGGAACAUCAGUGGCGAAGGCGACUAUCUGGCACAUAACUGACGCUGAGGAGCGAAAGCGUGGGUAGCAAACAGGAUUAGAUACCCGGGUAGUC
Molecule: ribosomal RNA, 464 nt
Filed under: uncultured bacterium
Lineage: Bacteria
Description: partial 16S ribosomal RNA
Rfam family: Bacterial small subunit ribosomal RNA
Source: RNAcentral